AUUGAACGCUGGCGGCAGGCCUAACACAUGCAAGUCGAACGGUAACAGGAAGAAGCUUGCUUCUUUGCUGACGAGUGGCGGACGGGUGAGUAAUGUCUGGGAAACUGCCUGAUGGAGGGGGAUAACUACUGGAAACGGUAGCUAAUACCGCAUAACGUCGCAAGACCAAAGAGGGGGACCUUCGGGCCUCUUGCCAUCGGAUGUGCCCAGAUGGGAUUAGCUAGUAGGUGGGGUAACGGCUCACCUAGGCGACGAUCCCUAGCUGGUCUGAGAGGAUGACCAGCCACACUGGAACUGAGACACGGUCCAGACUCCUACGGGAGGCAGCAGUGGGGAAUAUUGCGCAAUGGGCGCAAGCCUGAUGCAGCCAUGCCGCGUGUAUGAAGAAGGCCUUCGGGUUGUAAAGUACUUUCAGCGGGGAGGAAGGGAGUAAAGUUAAUACCUUUGCUCAUUGACGUUACCCGCAGAAGAAGCACCGGCUAACUCCGUG
This 490-nucleotide ribosomal RNA is filed under the name uncultured bacterium. Its description in RNAcentral is "partial 16S ribosomal RNA". It matches the Rfam family "Bacterial small subunit ribosomal RNA", at positions 30 to 507 of the family's 1533-position model. The record is from RNAcentral.